GUUGGAACGCCCGAAGAGGUGCUGCUGGGGUGGUUGGAAGCCGGUGGGGGGCGGGUGUAUGGCGGCUAGGCCUGGAAGACCACGAGGACCGCUAGCGCCGUGGGGUCACUCUUCCUCAUGCCACAGGUUGCCGAGCCUCGGGGGAGAGGUGGGGUCCCAGGGGCCAACCCUUGGGUGUGUUGAUGGCGGCAGGCUAACCCAGCCAACGGGGUGCCACUGCCGGGCAAGACUUCAGUGUGCUGAAAGUUCUCCCAUUGAGAGCACUUAUGCAGUUGGGUGAACUAUCUGCAUGAAAGUGACAUUUGCUCAUCUGUCUUUCUCGCUGAAGUCAUCGUCUAAAGGGUCCCUGUCUGCUUCCAAGGGUCCCUGGAACCUUCUGCAGCUGUGCCUCUCCAGAGCUCCGCCUCAUUAGUGCCACGUUCCUGGUUUGAAAACCAUAGUACUUCAACCUCUUCUAGAUGGGAGUUAACCUUUGCCCUCUGAAAGAAAGGUUUGAUAAGCAAAGAGAGUUUGGUGAGCAAGAUCCUUGAGGUAAGAGCUGAUCUCUGACGUCCGCUGGGAACUGGCUGCUCUGCAGGUUUCUGUAUCACAUUUUCUGCACAUGUCCAUUAGAAUUGGAGAUGGGGCGUAUCUAGUGUUGAAUAAAGGCCCGGCAGGCCCUCCCAGAUGCA
RNAcentral lists this long non-coding RNA (671 nucleotides) under Homo sapiens (human). Its description in RNAcentral is "GNAS antisense RNA 1". The record is from RNAcentral. Lineage: Eukaryota; Metazoa; Chordata; Mammalia; Primates; Hominidae.